AUAUGUACGCGAUUGAAGUGCCGUAGCGUCUGCUAACACUUGCUUUACUGCGCAUGUGAAAACAUCCCCCUACAACCCCUUACACUGGGCAAGACAGAACAGGUUAUACAUCGUUAUUGAUCAUAGACAUAACAUUGCUGAUAGUAUUAAAGGAAUACUACGAAAAUAUGAUUGCGUGGUGACUAGCAACCGUAUAUUUUUUACAAACCCUACUAUUUCAGAUGAGUGCAAGAACGCGUUUACAUAUAUGAUCAUCGAAUAUGUAAAAUGGAAAGGCUGACAUGUGAUGUGCACAAUUAGGGAAAGAUUUAUAUUUUAUAAAAACAGAUUUGAAUACACGACAAAUUUGUAAACUUUUUCAGAGAUAUAUACUGUAUCUGUGUACAUACAACGAAAUGUAUACGUCUGUGUAAAUGCGAAUGGAACGUCGAAGAAAAUCUCGUGGAAGCAACUAAAUGUAUGCGAAGUGUACAAUUAUCAAUUCAAAGCACAUUUCAUAAAUUAGAUUUUCCAAAAACAAGAGUUUGGGAUUUAUAGAUAUCGAUGGUAUACGUUGAAAUAAAGGUAGAAUAAUAAAUAAAGUUUUUAAAGUUUUUAACUAAACUAUAUUUGUGUUUUCAGUAUUUGUAUUUUGUAUAAUUAUAGAUAAUGCGUAUCAUUUUUAUUUAAAUUUGUAACAACCUUAUUUCGUAAAAUAAAUAGUAACUCUUGGGACAUCUCGUACACAGGUUGUAAUUGAUCUGUACAAACUUUGAGAAUGAGUUUCAUUUAGCAAAACAAUAAGAAGAGCUAUGUAAACAUAAAUCCUGAAAGAUUUUGUUACAUGGAUAAUAAUGGAUAGUAAUUAAAAAAUUAGAAAUUGCAUAACUUUUUUACCGUUAAUCUUAACACAACAACUGUAAAUCUGAAAGAAUAUGUUAAAAAUAUUCUUUUUGAAACUCUACAUAAGCUUUUGCAUAUUUAUACAUGAUUUUACACAUGCAAUAAAAAGUAGUAAAAAUGUUACGCCCUAUUGCGCAAUCGUUAAAAGUUUAUUGUCCUCAAUUAACUAUAUUAGUGAAAGUUGAAUAAACUAGCCAUUUUAUAAAUAACUCUGUACAUAUAUUUUAUACAUAAAAACCGAAUGGAUUUAAAUUUGGUGAGCGUAGGAGCCAUCUUGCUAGCAAUGAGCUUUCUCACCUUAUUCAGUGAUCUUUAUAAUUUUACCUUUGAAAGGCUAUAUCUUUGUAACAAAACCUUUUAAAACCUGUUCAUAUGACCUUUUGUUGUUGUUUGGUAUAAAAUCUGUAUAUUCUUCUGGUAUACCUCUCACGUAGGAGAUUAUUGUCAAUGAUGGUUUCUUUUUAUUUAAAUUUAUAUACCAUAUCUACAUGAAUCCUUACUUGUAUAUACUGCUUCUAAUACUGCUUCGUGAUCCCGUCAUUUUAUGAGUUUAUGAAUACUUAAUAAUUAAACAAGUAAUUUAUUAAGUGGUUAUAUGACACUAUAUUGUAUAUCUAUAUAAUGAUAAAAGUUUAACAUAAUUAUUUGCAAAUUAAAUUAAGGUAACAGAAACUACGAACUAAUUUUAGUAUUAAAAUUUUAGUACGAAUUGUGAUAAAAUUAUAGCACAAACCUCAGCUCAUUGUCCCUAUUACCUUUCUGUGAUUUGUAAUCCGUUGUGCCCUUGAUAGAAUUUUUUAAUUUUAAUUUACAUAUUUGAACUUGUGUAAUUUUUAUAUUUUCAUUAAAGAUAUUAAUUGCAAUUUCUGGCUUUAUAACGAAUUAAAAAUUAGGCAAAAGCGUACUUAUUAUGCGAAGAAGAACAUAAGUUACCGCUAGUUUCGACAUUCCAAUAGAAAAUACAGAAAAUUAUCGAGAAAUUAAUUAGGCAACAUGUCGUAUGAUAUUUGAAGACAGAUUGAAGAAAUCGCGAUUUUUCUUGGACGUCACGGCAUAAAACGGCAAUGAAUCGUGAAUAUCAUCGUCAUUACCGUAACAGGUGGUGUGUACUCACGAAAUCUAACGUUCCAUAAUCUAUUUAUAGAUCUUACGAUAAAUGACUUCGCGCCACUGUGAAACAGCUGUAAAAAAUGAAAAGUAUAUCAAAGUGACGAUGAACGCUGACGUGUAUCGACAUUGUUUGACAAAUAUAAAGGUGAUACUUCGCAACUACUGUCCGUGGAAACGAUAAUGAAAUUGUACAAACGUUAUUCGUACAAAGCCAACUUCUAUGCGUCAAAUUUGAUGAAUUAACUGCAAGAUAUUCAGUUCACCGAUUGUUCUGAGACUUGCAGAAUGGCAGUUACUGCGUCACGGUUGAGGAUUCUCCGAUGAUUCUAACGAUGAAAAACAGUACGUCCGGCCGCUCUUGUGCUCACGACAACACGGAGUUAUCCAACAAUUCAAUCCACGGCUCCAGACUACUGCGGCUAGCCGUCUACUAGAGAUCGCAGCGAGUUUGAGAAUAAAGCUGAGCGAAUUAUGUUUUGCAACGAACUAUAGAAUGACUGUGUUUUCAUGAUGUUAAAAUUAUGUUAAAACUGCUCGAAUAUCGCACGACCCAGGAAAGCCGAGGAAACGAUUGAGAUGCUGAAAGUUAUCCGCGAGUGUCUGAUAUCCGAAUGGAGUACUCGUGAUAAUUGGUGAGGAGUAAAUGUCGUUCCAUAAUAAUUUUGAUUCUUAGCAAAAUGAAGCUAUAGGAGAACUGGAUGAUGGUACCAAUGAUACCGUUCUCCGUUCAUCUCAAGCCUUAAUCAUCUCAUUUCCGAGUUAGAUAAAUUAUUUAGAAGUAGGAAGACCACCCGCAGUGAGAUUUAUAUUGCGAAGUA
Molecule: long non-coding RNA, 2810 nt
Organism: Vollenhovia emeryi
Lineage: Eukaryota; Metazoa; Arthropoda; Insecta; Hymenoptera; Formicidae
Exons: 5
Source: RefSeq, a predicted model, not a curated record